CAAGGAAAGUGAUUAUUGAUGCUGACGGAAAAAUGAAAAGACAGCAAGUGUUGGGCAGUGGGAAAGGAAUCCACAUUAAUGACCAUUACUCAAAUUUAAAACAAAAGCAACUCAUAAUUUCGGGAAUAAACGCAAAUCAAAGCUUCCACCUUCAUCUUAAAACCUUCUCUCUCCCUCUUUCCCAAAUCGUCAAUCUCUAUCCUUCUUUCCUUUUCCUCUGUUCUUAACAUCUCUUCACACAUACUAGAAAAACAGGUUUUGAAACUUGUUGUGUCAAAAAGAAAAAGAAAACUCCCCACCCCGAAUCGAAAAAAAAAAUUCAAACAAAACAAUAUCACAUAAUCAAUCAGGGAUCUACCUUGCACAAACUCUUAACCGCAUUCAACAGAGAAAAGGAAACCAAAUUGAAACAUCAAAAUCCAAACCACAACAAAGCUUAACAGAAAGGAAACGCAGAUUUAAUCAAGCAUGUUUAUGCAGUUAGUGGAUUACGACAGAAAUCAUAUGAACACGAGAUGAGGAACGGAAACAGCUAAACUUAAAUGAAACGACAUUUCGGGUGGGCUUAAGACACGGAAUCUAACCUUGGGCGAGUGGUCCUCCUCAGGUACACCCACUGAGCUGUCAAUUUACUAGAUGCGAGCAAAACGGUUAGAGAGAAUUUUCUCCUCAGAUUUGUGGGGACCAAUUGGCUGAGUGUCCAAUCCAAAGAACAAAUGUUGAUGGAUUUGUCUGUAGUGAGAUUUCCACCUUUCUCGAAUUCGAGUGGUCCCCUUCUUGCUAUGACAUCAUCAACCGAAUUUAUACUUUAUUGGUUUUGGCGAACGGAUAUGAAAGGAUAAUUUUGGCCAGUUUGGUUGCUAUUGAUGCAUCGCAGGGUAUUGUCAAAAUUUCACAUAUUCAUGCAGAUUGGUCAAACCUUUAUGUUGUAGAGUGGGUUUCGUGGUUACGGUAUCAUUGCUCUUGUCGUGUUUCAUUUAUCGGUUUACUUCUUAAGGCACUGUGGUAUGAUCUUCCUAUCUUGUCACUUUAAUCUCUGCUCAUCCUCCUUUAACACACCUGUAAAUGUUAUGCUAAAUGCAAUUGUAUGGGCCUACCUAUGUAUUGAUCUGAUUAUCUUUAUUACAGGCAGGAUUUGGCUCAUCGUCGUAUUCCAUGGCAUACACUUGCAAUCAGACUUGCCCCGUGCGGUAAUGUGUGCGCUUUGCUGUUCGAAGAAGUUAAUCAAAUUUCUUAAUCUUCUGUAAUCCAUUGAAUCAGUCUUGGGGCCUCAUUUUCCUGACAAGCAUCAAGAGCUCGUUCUAACAUGCGGGAAGUAAGCUUUAUUUGUCAAUGUUUUUUCAUAAAAUUAUCGAGCUCAUCCGUGCAUUCAUGCUGACAGUGGAUUGAAAUCGUGCAGUCAGUAUUUGGCCUUAUAUUAAUGAUUAUGGGAUACGUGAUCCCCCAUUUCUAUUACUUGAUGUAUAUUUCAACUGAGUAUUAAUCAGAGUCUGCAACAUUGAGUCCGUGCCGUAAACCAUGUUUGUAUUAUGCUCAUAGGUUCUGUGGUUUGGUUGAUCCCCGCGUCUUACUGAAAAGUGUUUAAACGUUGGUUCGUGUUUUGCAGUGUGGUGGACAUUAAGUAAGCAGGAUGCCCUUCUUGUCACCAUAUUAUGGAGAUCCAGCAACGGCAUUUGUAACAAGUAUAAAUCCCAGAUGGAUGGGCAGAUAUAAAGGCAACAUAUGAAAACACAUCUACAACUAAAACUGAAUGAUAUCAAGAGCUCCUUCAGGCUAGCAUUCCGUUGCAGGUUAACAUGAAUCGCUUGUUCAUUACUUUCACCAUCCUCUGCAACUCCUGCUACAAAUAUGUUGGUGUAAGCCCUAGAGGCCAAUACUUUUGGUACUUGUAUCGAAUUAUUUAUUAAUAAUAAAAGGCUUUUUCUUUA
RNA transcript from Lathyrus oleraceus (garden pea), 1928 nucleotides. RefSeq lists it as uncharacterized. The record is from RefSeq and is a predicted model, not a curated record. The transcript has 3 exons. Lineage: Eukaryota; Viridiplantae; Streptophyta; Magnoliopsida; Fabales; Fabaceae.